UGGAACCAAUUUUGAAUCUCUAAAUAAUUCUCCAGACAUUAGAUUCAAUAUUGGUAUAAAUAAGGGCGAGUCCCACUCAAAGAUUACUUUUAAUUACUUCUGUGAGCAAGACUGCCCUGAAUACAAUUACAUAUUUACAGAUGCCUCUAAACACGGUUCGUCUGGAAAUGUAGGCAUAGGAGUGUUUCACUUACAAAGUAAAACUACAAUAAAAAUAAAGUUUCCUCCAGAAUCCUCGAUUUUCACAGGGGAAUGUUACGGUGUCUUUGAAGCUUUAAAACUAGUUUUGAGUAAGAAACUUAAGAAAUCAAUUAUUUUUACAGAUUCACUUAGUGCUCUUCAAGCUCUCCAAAAGUUUCCAUUAAAAAACAAAUUAAUUUUUCCUAUCAUUAUUGAGAUUAGGAGUUUGCUGUAUAUAUGUAAGCAAUUAGGGCUGUCUGUGUCAUUUGGUUGGAUACCUGGGCAUUCUGGUAUUUUUGGUAACGACAUAGCAGACCAACUAGCAAAUGAAGCUGUUAAAGAUGGCGAUGCUAAUUCGUAUAAAAAUUAUUAUCAUGAUUUGGCCUCACUUCCUGUUUAUUUUCUUAGAAAAUCUUGGGCUGAUCUUUGGAUUCAGAGCAGUUUAAUUAAGGGUAAAUAUUUUUCAUCCAUACAGCCCACAAUACCACUGAAACCAUGGUUUUUUAAAAUGAAAUUUAAUAAAAAGGAAACAUCGUCUCUUAUUCGUAUGAGAUUGGGUCAUGUGUGUACCCCAGCACAUCUUACCAGAUUUCAUAUUAUUGAUAAUGAAAUGUGUGAGUGUGGGCUGAAUAUUGGUGAUUUAAAUCAUAUCAUUCUGUCCUGUCCUCGGUUUGACCACUCCAUGUUAUUUGAUCACUCUGAUCCUUCUUCCAGUAUUCCGUUACCUACAUCUGUUCCUGUUUUGCUUUCAUCUUUAAAUCAUAAUGUAUACAACAUGUAACAUAUUUAACGCACACCCUCAAACACCCCAAUUAGACUUUAAUAGUAUAAACGCUAUGCAUACACCAAAUAUUAUUUAUAUGUGCGUUAACAUUGAUUAUUUGUGAAAUUAGUUAUUCCAAUUUCGUGGAAAUAAAAUGGUCACCGAUUCACACUCCGCUGCGCACGCACACACAGACACCUACUCGCCGCGCCGCUUGUUCAAUGCACUUUAAUGACCGUUUUCGUAUUUGUUGUUUUAUUUUAGAUAAUACUGCAAUGUCACUUUUCACUUUAUCAAAGGCGGUUAUUAUCUUAUUCUUUAGUUCUUCGGCACUUAUUGUCUGUGUGUUAUAAACUAGUGAUUUAAUUCGCCCCCACAAAAAAAAGUCGAGAGGCGUCAAAUCAGCUGAUCUAGGAGGUCACUGACCGAAAAGACAUAGCGAAAUACGGGAGAUAUUUUAUUUGCACUAUCACUUGACCUCUUAUCGAUAAGGUGGACGCGGCGUGACUGACUUGUCAAAAAUAUUUUGUUGACUUCGUUGUUUAGAUUUUUCUUUGAUCACCGCCGACGCGACGCAACCGCGUCGCAUCGGGAUUAGCCUGCCGUUUAUUGUAAGAAUAUUAAGCCGACGAAAGAAAGGGAUAGUAAUUAUUUUUGUAUUACGUGGUUUUCUUUUAUGUAUUGUAGUGUUGUUGUGUGCCGGCGGUCGCUGUUGGUAUUGUGUGCGUAGGUAUUUUAUUUUGUAAUAGACUAUUAACCUUGAAAUAAGUAUCAGAUUUAUUUAAUUAAAUAAAUUUUUUUUUACUAAUUAGAUAUUUCAUUUUAAAAAGUCUUAAUACCCUGACUUACGUUCCAUUUUCGUUUUUAUGAAUUGUUUAGCUAGCUGUGUAGGGUGACUGUAAUUUACUUAGUUUUAACUAAAUUUUAGAAAAAAAAUUUGGUACAUAAAAAACAAUCAAAAUCGAUCCAGAUUCCGAUUCUGAACAAAUUACUUUCAGGGUGUGCGUUAAUUAUGUUACAUGUUGUAUAAAAAGUUAUGUUUAUUUCUUACUGUAAAUAAUAUACAAUUAUAAGUACAUACCUAUGUAUAUAAUUAAUAUUCUAUUUAAUUUAAUUUAUUAAUUACUGUUCUUUUCCUUAGCGUAGAAUUUUGUAUUAGAGAUAGUUUUUAUCCUGCUGAUCCUUUCCUUUAUCCGAUGUAAAUUUCGUUCGAUGUAAAAUUCUUUUCCUUUUCUACUCCGUUUCCUUACCUUUGUCUGUGGCAAUACGCACUGCGUGAUGCCAUUAGAAAAAAAAAAAAAAAAAAAAAAAAAAAAAAAAUGUGCGCUCAUUGUUUGCACAUUGGUGUUAGUUACAGUAUAAAAAGAGGCAGGACCUACAAAAUUUAUGAAAAAGUCUUAUUCGCAAAAUUUAUAAGUAUGUAUAAUUACUGAUGGUAGUCCGUAUUGUAUGGCCGUCUGCACAGCUAGGUAGUCUGCAAAAAUGAUAAGGAGACCACUGACGGAAAUUACACUUAAACUAGAUGAUUUACAAGAAUAUGAAGCUUAUCGAAGGGAAAAGAGUAAUACUUCGUCUACAGGUGCGGAAAUGCAAGAAGACACACCAAAAUCUCUAGGAGCGGGAACAAAAACUAGUGAAGAUAUUCACAAUAGAAUCGGUUAUGCUCCAAAAAAGAAGCCAAGUGGUCCUAGCACUGUUUAAAUAUGUACUUGACUCAUAAUUAAGUAGUAAUAAAUGUGAAUUUGUGUCAAAUGAAA
Molecule: long non-coding RNA, 2700 nt
Organism: Bombyx mori (domestic silkworm)
Lineage: Eukaryota; Metazoa; Arthropoda; Insecta; Lepidoptera; Bombycidae
Exons: 2
Source: RefSeq, a predicted model, not a curated record